GGGGCCGCUUUCGGAUUAUUGGGCGUAAGAGCUCGUAGGCGGUUUGUCGCGUCUGCCGUGAAAGUCCGGGGCUCAACUCCGGAUCUGCGGUGGGUACGGGCAGACUAGAGUGAUGUAGGGGAGACUGGAAUUCCUGGUGUAGCGGUGAAAUGCGCAGAUAUCAGGAGGAACACCGAUGGCGAAGGCAGGUCUCUGGGCAUUAACUGACGCUGAGGAGCGAAAGCAUGGGGAGCGAACAGGAUUAGAUACCCUGGUAGUCCAUGCCGUAAACGUUGGGCACUAGGUGUGGGGGACAUUCCACGUUUUCCGCGCCGUAGCUAACGCAUUAAGUGCCCCGCCUGGGGAGUACGGCCGCAAGGCUAAAACUCAAAGGAAUUGACGGGGGCCCGCACAAGCGGCGGAGCAUGCGGAUUAAUUCGAUGCAACGCGAAGAACCUUACCAAGGCUUGACAUGGGCCGGACCGGGCUGGAAACAGUCCUUCCCCUUUGGGGCCGGUUCACAGGUGGUGCAUGGUUGUCGUCAGCUCGUGUCGUGAGAUGUUGGGUUAAGUCCCGCAACGAGCGCAACCCUCGUUCCAUGUUGCCAGCGCGUAAUGGCGGGGACUCAUGGGAGACUGCCGGGGUCAACUCGGAGGAAGGUGGGGACGACGUCAAAUCAUCAUGCCCCUUAUGUCUUGGGCUUCACGCAUGCUACAAUGGCCGGUACAAAGGGUUGCGAUACUGUGAGGUGGAGCUAAUCCCAAAAAGCCGGUCUCAGUUCGGAUUGGGGUCUGCAACUCGACCCCAUGAAGUCGGAGUCGCUAGUAAUCGCAGAUCAGCAACGCUGCGGUGAAUACGUUCCCGGGCCUUUGUACACACCGCCCGUCAAGUCACGAAAGUUGGGUAACACCCGAAGCCGGUGGCCUAACCCCUUGUGGAGGGAGCUGUCGAAGUGGGACUGGCGAUUGGACUAAGUCGUAACAAGGUAACCAAGACU
RNAcentral lists this ribosomal RNA (976 nucleotides) under uncultured bacterium. RNAcentral's name for it is "bacterial SSU rRNA". It matches the Rfam family "Bacterial small subunit ribosomal RNA", at positions 535 to 1507 of the family's 1533-position model. The record is from RNAcentral.